AUGUCCACACCCGGAGCGUCGGGAAAGUGUUGCCCGAGGCGACCGAUGUCUUACCAGGUGGCUUUGUCUGUUGUGGAGUGCAACCAGUGUGUGAGCCCUUGGUUCACCGUCUUACGCCUGGUGUGCUUGUCGCAUUGGCAUAUGAUCUGCAGUGGCACCCAGGCUGGAGUCGUGGGAAGCGCCGGUGGAGAUCUUCAAGGUCUUCCCAGGUGGUGUCAUCGACUGGUGCCCCUGUCUAGUGGAUUAGUCCUUGUCGCACCAUCUUGUUGGUCGUCUUGCGUGAGUGAUACUCGAGCACCUCCAAAGAAACCUGGAACUCAGUGUCAUUAG
Molecule: ribosomal RNA, 330 nt
Filed under: Triticum aestivum (bread wheat)
Lineage: Eukaryota; Viridiplantae; Streptophyta; Magnoliopsida; Poales; Poaceae
Description: partial small subunit ribosomal RNA
Source: RNAcentral